Molecule: long non-coding RNA, 396 nt
Filed under: Bos taurus (domestic cattle)
Lineage: Eukaryota; Metazoa; Chordata; Mammalia; Artiodactyla; Bovidae
Description: long non-coding RNA NONBTAT018496
Source: RNAcentral
UUAAGAUAAAUUAUGACACUGGAAAAAUUCUUUUUCCUUUGUUAAGAAGAUAAAGUGCUUCCUGAAAAGUUUCUUGUAAAACAUUUGUCAGGUUUUCAUAACCAUUGUUUUAAAAAUGCUCUUAAUAUUUUUAUAAUAUGAGAAUUUGAUCUUAGCUAAAAAUGUAUCAUUCAUUGCACAUUUUCUCCUUAAAAUUAUUGUGCUUUAAUAACCAAUUAUAGGAUCAUAUUAAAGAACUUAUUGAUUUUUUCCUUUUUCCUAGUUAUAUGACUCUAAAGAAUCCCUACUCAAAAGACCCCCAUUACUUUUUAAUAGAAAAAAAUUAAAACAGCUAUGUAAUAAAAUAUACAUACUAAUAAUUCUUUUUAAAAAAUUACUCCUUAGCAUUUUAGGAGA